AUCUAUCUAUCUAUCUAUCUAUCUAUCUAUCUAUCUAUCUAUCUGAAACAGAUUAUAGAUUAGGUUUUAGAUAGAUAGAUAGAUAGAUAAUCAUUAUACCUGGUCUUCUCCAAUAUGGUGGGGGUCGUGUCACAUGAUAGGGGAGGCUUGGGGGGGCUUUAGUUGCAAAAGGUUGAGAACCUCUGAUAUAGAGUAACCAAUAAUGGCAACAUUUAAAAAAAAAAGAACAUCUAAGUUCUGUGACUAAAAUAAGAUUCGCUUGUAUGCUUACAGAUACUAGUCCUGUACAUUUUUUAAAAUCAUAUUUAUUAUUGUUGAUGAAAACAUACUAAAUUGUAGAUGAUAAAGCCAUUUUGUCCCAGGUGGUGGAGGGGGAGGAGUGCCUCGUGCUGUAAAUGAGCUGGAAUCUCUCUGUGAAGGAGAGUAAUUACAGCCUGAUCAAGAAGAAGUGUCUGGCCAUCAAGUGGGCGGUCCUCACCCUCCCAUACUACCUACAGGGACUCCCCUUCACCCUCUGUUCUGAUCAUGCCUCGCUCAAAUGGCUCCACCGAUGAAGGACACCAACGCACAGAUCACUCGUUGGUAUCUGGCACUUCAAGUUCGAGUUGGUCCACAGGCAUAGAUAGUAGUGGUGGAUUUGCUCCCCCCGCAAUGGGGAGGUGCGGGGUUCGGCUGCAGGCUGGAUGAGUUGGGGUUGCUGGCUGCAGAUGGAGAGGAGGAGACACUAUGAGCCAGAGAAAGACAGAGCUGUCCUCGGCUGCUCACCAAAUCACAAUGUGACCUUGAACCUGAAUGCGGUGAGCCCACAAACUAGUUUGGGCUGUUUGCUUUCUUUUGCUAUGAAUUUGAAUUUUAGAGAACAUGUGCUGAAAUGUGCUCGGGGUUAUGUUACAGAGAAACCAGAAAGCACAAAGUCCUCUAUUCUGAAAACAUACUGACUGUUACAAAGCACCGACACCCAGGACUCCUUCAGUAAAUGUUACACAAACAUCUCCCAAACACAACCUUUUUGCUUUUCUUGUCGUUUUGCUGCAAGUAUUCGCUGUAUAUGCUGCAUUUUUAUCAAUCAUUUCAAAAAGAGAGGCUGGUGAAGUUGUGACCGAUUAUAGCUCUUAUAACAUACAGUAAUGUGAAAAAAUAAGUACACCCCAUGGAAAUUGUUGUUUUUUUUUUUACGCAUUUGGCCAGCAAACAUGUGAUCCUCUUUGAAACCGUGACUAUUAAUAAAG
This is a long non-coding RNA of Ictalurus punctatus (channel catfish), 1229 nucleotides long. Lineage: Eukaryota; Metazoa; Chordata; Actinopteri; Siluriformes; Ictaluridae. The record is from Ensembl.